Molecule: long non-coding RNA, 331 nt
Filed under: Monomorium pharaonis (pharaoh ant)
Lineage: Eukaryota; Metazoa; Arthropoda; Insecta; Hymenoptera; Formicidae
Description: uncharacterized LOC118644822, transcript variant X1
Source: RNAcentral
AUGAAGAGGCAUGCUAUUCCCAUUAUGUAGUAUGCGCAAAAAGAAGUAUUAAGAAGCCCACAUAUGUAAUUCAAUUAUCAAUAAUUCUCGAGAGGGUGAACAAUAAAGUUGGACCAAGCGUUUUAAAUAUUCUGCAUUGCGUGACCCUCGUUUUAUGUUUUCAACAAGUUUUCUGCCCUGAACAUCAUGAAAAACGUUUUGGGAUAUAAGAUUUCAGAUAAGUUAUUAAUAAUCCUUACACUGCAGAAUGUAAUCAUCGUAAGUGGAAGUAUUUUUCCUGCAGUGAUGCGAAGAGGUUGGCUAGUUCGCAUCGUUAAUAAAAUAAGGAGUC